CUGCAGCCAGUGAAGCUGACCAUCCUUUUUGUCCGGUGGAGCCCAGUGUGCAGUGGUUGCAGACAGCAGCCUCCUUGGUAGUGUAUGCAGUGUCUGUCUUCUGUGGCUUGCCCAAGGGGCCGAUGAGACAUUC
Erinaceus europaeus (western European hedgehog) is the source of this 133-nucleotide non-coding RNA. NCBI's taxonomy places the organism in Eukaryota, Metazoa, Chordata, Mammalia, Eulipotyphla, Erinaceidae. The record is from Rfam.